RNAcentral lists this ribosomal RNA (483 nucleotides) under uncultured bacterium. RNAcentral describes it as "partial 16S ribosomal RNA". It matches the Rfam family "Bacterial small subunit ribosomal RNA", at positions 28 to 507 of the family's 1533-position model. The record is from RNAcentral.
GACGAACGCUGGCGGCGUGCUUAACACAUGCAAGUCGAACGAUGAAGCGGGUGCUUGCACUCGUGGAUUAGUGGCGGACGGGCGAGUAACACGUGAGUAACCUGUCCUUUUCUUUGGGAUAACGGCUGGAAACGGCUGCUAAUACUGGAUAUUCAGGCUGCAUCGCAUGGUGUGGUUUGGAAAGGUUUUUUCUGGGAUUGGGUGGGCUCGCGGCCUAUCAGCUUGUUGGUGGGGUGAUGGCUUACCAAGGCUUUGACGGGUAGCCGGCCUGAGAGGGUGGUCGGUCGCACUGGGACUGAGAUACGGCCCAGACUCCUACGGGAGGCAGCAGUGGGGAAUAUUGCACAAUGGACGAAAGUUUGAUGCAGCGACGCCGCGUGGAGGGUGUAGGCCUUCGGGUUGUGAACUCCUUUUUCUCGCGAAAAAGGCACAGUUUUGGCUGUGUUGAUGGUAGUGGGGGAAGAAGCGCCGGCUAACUACGUG